Strigops habroptila (Kakapo) is the source of this 1618-nucleotide long non-coding RNA. RefSeq lists it as uncharacterized. The transcript is spliced from 4 exons. NCBI's taxonomy places the organism in Eukaryota, Metazoa, Chordata, Aves, Psittaciformes, Psittacidae. The record is from RefSeq and is a predicted model, not a curated record.
CUUUUCCCAAGAGAAAACCUGGGUGCUGUUCAGAAGCCAGUUUACUCCAGAGACUCCUCCCAAAUGUAUUAUGGAAAAGACAGCACCAGCAUGGAACCAAUCCAAUAUGAGAAAGUCGAUAUCCGACUGGAGGAGAAACUCAUUUCCUGACACUGUCGUGAUCUGGGGAGGGCAUGGGACACACAGACUAAUCUUCAGAGUAACUAGACAGUUUCAAGAAGACUGCUACUGCUCUCUACAGUUUAAAUGCAUCCACUCCUUAAUUACAGUCAGUAAUUGACUUUGUUCUGCUCCAUUCCAGUCAUUCACAGGAAAGCAGUUCCAAAGGCUUUGGCUGGAACCACUAAAAUAAACAGAGGGACUGAAGAAACAAACGGAAGACAAAUCUGGGAAAAAAAUAUAGGAAAAGAACAUUAUGUGUUCUAGAUAGAGCUGCCAGUCUUCAUUGUGCCAGGUAUUUCACUUAUUUACUGAAAUCCCUCUCUUUGCCAUAAUUUUUGCAAAAGCUACAGUCUGGAAUUGGCAUUACCUUACCAAGCAGAAUUAUGAUGUUUCUAUCAGCAAUAAAUGCCCUCAAGGAAUGGCAACUGACAGCAACUCUCUUAUUUGCAAAGGGUGUGCCCUUCAGGUUGCUAACAGAAGAGCCAGGAUGCCUGGUUUCUCUUUUCCUUGUUAUAGCACUUUGGAAAAAUCACUUCAAAGGCUGAAUCCAUUCACAUGUUAGUUUUACAAUGAACUGUAGUACAGUCCUGCUGUUAAACGUUGAUCCUCUGAAAAUAUUGGCUCACUGCAGGUAAAUGCAUGUUAAAUUCGAUACACUGCUGGGCUGCCAACAAAGUGUGGGAAUGAGGGCAGGUGUGAAACACUUUUUAUGAUAUUCUACUUAUGGCUUGUUAAGGAUUUUCCUUGUCACCUUUUAAAGCUGCAAAUGGAGAGGUGAGCUUUUGAAUGUCACCAUAAUGACGUACCUAGGUCGUGUUCAACAAAAUCCUAUGUUAUUAGACAAAAAGAUACCUAUAUAACUCCAGGAAAUACUGGACACUGUAAUUAAUACCACUGUCAUUUUAUAAUACACGAAUAUAACUUGGAUCCUAUCCAGGAUCAGCAGUUCUUAAAAAUCCUACAAAUCAUGUAUUUUUCCUGUGCUAGGUUGCGCUCUGAGACAUGCUACUGUGCCAUGCAUGCCUGUGUUCCUCCAGGACUUCCAAACCGUUACACAUCACCUGGAUCACCUCUGUCUCAGAGACUAUUCCUUUUCACGUUAUACCUAUACCAAUAGAAAACAGGAGAUAAAAGCUGGAAAAGUGCCAUGGCAUAAGCCCAGCAUCUUCUGCCCUUUGUCUUCCCGCAAACUCUGGUCUGGGGAUUACUGCACUGCUGUAAAAAAAAAAAUCCUUCAUGGUAUCCCUCUAGUUCUUUACCAAUACACAUCUUUAUAGAUACUUUAAUUCUUUAUAUUUAAUUCCACUGCAGAACAAGGAUGGAGGCAAUUUUAAGAAUGCUACCGAUAGGCACUCCCGCUAUGGAGAUAUGGAAAUGAGAAAUAAAUUCACACAGCAAAACGAAAAUACAGAACCGUGUUAUUGAUUCACUCACUUCAAAGUGUACUUAUGCAUCU